RNAcentral lists this ribosomal RNA (229 nucleotides) under uncultured bacterium. RNAcentral's name for it is "partial 16S ribosomal RNA". It matches the Rfam family "Bacterial small subunit ribosomal RNA", at positions 15 to 235 of the family's 1533-position model. The record is from RNAcentral.
GAUCAUGGCUCAGGAUGAACGCUAGCUACAGGCUUAACACAUGCAAGUCGAGGGGCAGCAUGGUCUUAGCUUGCUAAGGCCGAUGGCGACCGGCGCACGGGUGAGUAACACGUAUCCAACCUGCCGUCUACUCUUGGACAGCCUUCUGAAAGGAAGAUUAAUACAAGGUGGCAUCAUGAGUCCGCAUGUUCACAUGAUUAAAGGUAUUCCGGUAGACGAUGGGGAUGCG